AGAAGUAUCGUACAAUGGUUAGUACACACGACCGAUAAUCGUGUAAUGUAGGUUCAAUUCCUGCUACUUCUACCA
Molecule: transfer RNA, 75 nt
Filed under: Thomasclavelia ramosa
Lineage: Bacteria; Bacillati; Bacillota; Erysipelotrichia; Erysipelotrichales; Coprobacillaceae
Also listed under: 5 other names
Description: Erysipelatoclostridium ramosum tRNA-Ile
Rfam family: tRNA
About the family: Transfer RNA (tRNA) molecules are approximately 80 nucleotides in length. Their secondary structure includes four short double-helical elements and three loops (D, anti-codon, and T loops).
Source: RNAcentral